UACGUAGGCAGCGAGCGUUGUUCGGAAUUACUGGGCGUAAAGGGCGCGUAGGCGGAUCGUUAAGUCAGAGGUGAAAGCCCAGGGCUCAACCCUGGAAUUGCCUUUGAUACUGGCGAUCUUGAGUACGGGAGAGGUGUGUGGAACUCCGAGUGUAGAGGUGAAAUUCGUAGAUAUUCGGAAGAACACCAGUGGCGAAGGCGACACACUGGCCCGUUACUGACGCUGAGGCGCGAAAGCGUGGGGAGCAAACAGG
RNAcentral lists this ribosomal RNA (253 nucleotides) under uncultured bacterium. Its description in RNAcentral is "partial 16S ribosomal RNA". It matches the Rfam family "Bacterial small subunit ribosomal RNA", at positions 524 to 776 of the family's 1533-position model. The record is from RNAcentral.